Non-coding RNA from Tirmania nivea, 95 nucleotides. NCBI's taxonomy places the organism in Eukaryota, Fungi, Ascomycota, Pezizomycetes, Pezizales, Pezizaceae. The record is from the annotation of a GenBank genome assembly.
GGCACAGUGGUCUAAUGGUAUGACUCCUGCUAUGUAAGGACCUGCUAAAUGGAUGCAGAGAGUGGGUGAUCUGGGUUCAACUCCCAGCUGAGCCA